This 673-nucleotide non-coding RNA is filed under the name Lasius niger. RNAcentral's name for it is "Bacterial small subunit ribosomal RNA". It matches the Rfam family "Bacterial small subunit ribosomal RNA", at positions 1 to 755 of the family's 1533-position model. Lineage: Eukaryota; Metazoa; Arthropoda; Insecta; Hymenoptera; Formicidae. The record is from Rfam by way of RNAcentral.
AAAGAAAGUAGUUUGAUCUUGGCUACGAAUAUACGCUAACUAUAGGCCUUACACAUGUAAGUCGUAUGAGGGGACUGAAGCGAACAAUAGGGGGCGACAGUAAUCAUGGCACCCGGGUGAGUAGGAGUAGGGAAUAAAAUCUAAGGUACAGAGAAAAGCUGUAAAAACCCCCCCCCAAGGGGGGCCCCCGCACAACAUGAACAUAUUGUGCAGGGGCAGGGGUGACCAAAGAAUACCUAUUUUUGGAUUAGGUAGUUGGUAGGGUAAAGGCUUACCAAGCCAAAGAUCUGAAAUUUAGUAUGAAAUGAACUAGAUCACAGUGGCAAUGAAAAAGAGCCACGUAGACCAAUUGGUCUGCCAGCAGUGGGGAAUAUUGGACAAUGGGCAAGGCGCCUGAUCCAGCCAUAUAGUAAGAGUCAAAAAAAACUCAAAAGAAAAAAGAAAAGAAUGAUAGAAGUUUUCAUUAUAUCCUGACAAAUUACGUGCCAGCAGUCGCGGUAAGACGUGAAGGAUAAGCGUAAUUCAUAAUAACUAGGUAUUAAGUGUCUGUAGGCGGCGAGAGCUAGAGUCUGACUAGGAAAUUGAAAUUUGAUAAGGAAGGAUAAAAUCUGUUGAUAUAUUAAAGAAUACUAUGCGAAGGCAUUUUUCUAUGAAGGACUGACGCUAAGAGACU